UUACAAUGCAAGCGCUCUGUUUUGUGUUGCUUGCAUGGGCAGUGCAAUUAGAACCGCUGUAAAUUAGGGGUCUGCUGCUUGGAACAGUUAUUGCACUUGAGCUCCUGAUUGUUGGCAGAGAAGAGCCACCUGGAAGAGCUGGUGUGGGACACACGCACCUGUCUGCAGAGAGCAUUCUGGUCUCUGUCCACAAUCAGAGGAGCCUUCUUCCUGUUCCAGCUAAACACAGGCCGGUAAGUCGAGAGUCUCUGCAUCCAGUAGCUGAUUUGCUGAGCGAUUUAAGGCAGAAACUUUACUGGGAAUGAAAAGACUGAUGGCUGUGGCUGACUGCUAUCCCUCUACCUGCCUAGGCUGGCCCCGCCGUGAGCACGCUCCCCAGGCUGGGUGCUGGGAUUAAAGGCUUGUGCCAACACUGCCCGCCUGGAUUCUUAAGAAUUUUCAGGGGCACAAUGCCGCCUACACAAAGGCCCUGAAAGGAUUCUGCAGGAGCUUGCUUUGACGUAGACUUAUUUCUUUCCAAGUGGCGGCCGUCUCCUGAACACAGCCUUUGCUGUCAUCUCCCUGGUUGCAUGGAAAGCGGCUUGUGGGAAGGGUCUAGAGACUGGUAAAUAAAUAA
Molecule: long non-coding RNA, 616 nt
Organism: Mesocricetus auratus (golden hamster)
Lineage: Eukaryota; Metazoa; Chordata; Mammalia; Rodentia; Cricetidae
Exons: 3
Source: RefSeq, a predicted model, not a curated record